RNAcentral lists this ribosomal RNA (467 nucleotides) under uncultured bacterium. Its description in RNAcentral is "partial 16S ribosomal RNA". It matches the Rfam family "Bacterial small subunit ribosomal RNA", at positions 28 to 507 of the family's 1533-position model. The record is from RNAcentral.
GACGAACGCUGGCGGCGUGCUUAACACAUGCAAGUCGAACGGAAAGGCCCUGCUUUUGUGGGGUGCUCGAGUGGCGAACGGGUGAGUAACACGUGAGUAACCUGCCCUUGACUUUGGGAUAACUUCAGGAAACUGGGGCUAAUACCGGAGAGGAGCUCCUGCUGCAUGGUGGGGGUUGGAAAGUUUCGGCGGUUGGGGUUGGACUCGCGGCUUAUCAGCUUGUUGGUGGGGUAGUGGCUUACCAAGGCUUUGACGGGUAGCCGGCCUGGGAGGUGACCGGCCACAUUGGGACUGAGAGACGGCCCAGACUCCUACGGGAGGCAGCAGUGGGGAAUAUUGCACAAUGGGCGGAAGCCUGAUGCAGCAACGCCGCGUGCGGGAUGACGGCCUUCGGGUUGUAACCCGCUUUCGCCUGUGACGAAGCGUGAGUGACGGUAAUGGGUAAAGAAGCACCGGCUAACUACGUG